AACGAGGGUCGGGCACAAGUUGGGGCCAAUCUCUCUCAACUUUCUGUUUUGAACUUGCUGGAACGUUCUGCAUGUUGCAGCGUGCCACUGCUCUGCCUUAUCACUGCUCUGCUACUUUAGGAUGCAUAAUCUUUCUGUGUGACCAGAGAGGUGUGGGAGAGGAAAGUCCCAUGAACUUGAAGUGAAAAGGGUAAGCUGCAGCUGUAUCUGCACAUUUAAACGUUAAACAUUUUCUAGCCUCUAGGACCGUAAUCCUAGAGUGUAAACGCAUUGAAGGAAAUUGGAUGAUACUCAGAAAUCUGAUUUGAAUUUAAAUACUAAUUCCUCUGUGUGUGUGUGUGUCUAAUUGGAGACUGAUGACAAUACCGUUGCUUUUUCUUCCAUAGAAGAACCCUGUAAAGGAUUUCUGAUCAAAAUGCAAAAAUGAUGAUCCAGACCUUUUUAUUCCAUGCUUUUGUGAGUUGUAAAACUGCUAUAGUUUUUGGUCGGAGUCAUUAAUAAAGGGCACCUGUGCUAGCCUUAAUUCAAUUGGGGUUUGUGGCUGCUCCACUUCAGGAAUUUUGUGGUAUUAGCUUUAUUUGUGCAUCAGGGCACAGAACCCAGAGGACCGGAACACAGUUCGCUGGCUUCAAAUUGACUUCACUUCCAAUACUGUGUCCUAACUGUUACUCACAGAAUUCCUGGAAAAGAUCCAAGUGCUUGUUGAGAGUAAAGUCACAACUGGAAGUUUUUCCAUUAAUUCGAAACUUGGGGUGCCCCAGGUUACUGGAGGCUUCUUGGAAUACACAGUGAUGGCUGGUGCCAAUUGGGAAUGGGCAGCAGGCCAGGAGGCCAACAGCAGGGUAGAGCUAGAGCCAAUGACAGAUAGAGCCAACUAAUUUAAGUUUUAUCCUCAUCCUCCAUCUUUCUUUUCUUCAAAUGCUUUCCCUGGGGAAACCCACUGUUUGCUUGAUGUUUGUUCCAUUCAGCCAUAAACAGUGGAUUUUCCCUGGGGAAAGUAGUGGACGCGUGCCUAGAAAUCAUGGGAUAAUAAUAAUAAUAAUAAUAAUAAUUUAUUAUUUAUACCCCACCCGGCUGGGUUUCCCUGGAGCUAAGGGACUAAGGAGCAGGAGGAAGAUGACAGGUAGUGCUGCCCCCUAGACUAGUUGCAAGUAAAAAAAAUCAGGCAGGUGGGGUGCAGGCUGAGAUGGAUGUUGAUGGGGCAAUGCCCCAUUUGUCUUAAUGGUCCAGGCUUCACUGGGAAUAUGUAAUAUUUGUGAUUAUUUUCAAAUAUAUACCGUAUUUUUCGCUCUAUAAGACACACUUUUCCCCUCCUAAAAAGUAAGGGGAAAUGUGUGUGCGUCUUAUGGAGGGAAUGCAGGCUGCGCAGCUUUCACUAAAGCCAGGAGAGCAAGAGGGAUCAGUGCGCACUGAUCCCUCUUGCUCUCCUGGCUUCACUUCGCUGGAGAGGCUCUGCGCAGCUUUCCCUCUUUGCGCAGCGCCCCUUCAGUGAAGCGGCAGGAAAAACGGAGCCCCUUCCAUUGCUCCUCCCACUUUGCUGGAGAGGAGCUGAGCAGAGAGGGAGAGAAUUUUUUUUUCUUGUUCUCCUCCUCUAAAACUAGGUGCGUCUUAUGGUCGGGUGCAUCUUACAGAGCGAAAAAUACGAUAGGUUGAGCCUAGGUGGAAACACGGCUUACAGACUCUAACAGACAGCUAAAGUCCACUGUUCUGGCAUCAGAUCUCCAGGGAGACACAGUGGGCACCCGGAGAUCUCUACUAAACUCAGUUUGUUGUUGAUGUGUCUCAUUCAAACAGCAAUCUUCUUAGUUUCCUCUCUCACACAGUUACCGUACCUUCCUGCACCCAACCCACACCGCCUACUAGAGGGUAUUGGAAAGUGGAUGAGUCACUUCAUCAAACUAUCACUUAAUCUUCUUGGACCUUCUUAGGUUUUCCAUGAAAAACUGCCUCCUAAAUAUCAGGGCCAUCAACACGUUUUUGGGUCAAAUUUAAGGUCCUGCAAACACCAUACAUGUAAUGUACUUUUAUAGCACAUGACUCCCUCCCCCAAAGAAUCCUGGGAACUGUAGUUGAUCCUUCCUAGCACCUUUAACAAGCUACAGUUCCUGGAAUCCUUUGGGGGGGGGGAGUCAUGUUUGGGGAAUCAAAACUGGAUUGUGAACUUCAUCACAGCAGCCUUAAUGUGUGUGCCAAAGUGAUCAAGUCUGAGACCCAGAAUCUUUAUUUGCAAGGGGAUGGAAAACAACCAUUAAAGUUCAAAAGCUCUAUUUACUAACCAAACUUUUACACAGCUAGGGCAUCCUCUCUCUUAUGGAGAGCUUAUGGCAUGGUUUGCAGGAACAGGGCAGUAAGCAAUUUUUGGUGAUUCCCCAUCCCACUUAAAUCUGCUCUAGGGGGUUGGAAGGGUGGUUGCAGGGGAAAUCACUGAAAUUGCUUCCUUUAAUGGUCCACUAACAGAAGCCAUACCACUAGCUGAGCUUUACUAUUGAACACAACCCAUUGGGACUUACUUCUAUAGUCUUAAAAUCAGCAGUUUUAGUUACCGGUAUCUGGUGAAUUUGAUUUUAGGUGUGUCUCUGCCAGAAAUUCUUAUGCUGCAAUUGUUUUUAUGAUAGAAAAACUAUGUUAUGGGGCAGCCAAUAUAAAUAUAAAUAUAAAUAUAAAUAUAAAUAUAAAUAUAAAUAAAUAUAAAUAUAAAUAUAAAUAUAAAUAUAAAUAUAAAUAUAAAUACUGUAUAGGCAAGUGAAUAAAUAUGCCAAUAUAUAAAUACACGUGUUGGAAUGAUGGUUUUGCAAAUGAUUAAUGAGUUAAAAAGCAGGUGGUUAGUCAAUUACAGUGGUACCUCAGGUUAAGUAUUUAAUUCGUUCUGGAGGUCCAUUCUUAACCUGAAACUGUUCUUAACCUGAAGCACCACUUUAGCUAAUGGGGCCUCCUGCUGCCGCUGAGCCGCUGCUGCACGAUUUCUAUUCUCAUCCUGAAGCAAAGUUCUUAACCCGAGGUAAUAUUUCUGGGUUAGUGGAGUCUGUAACCUGAAGCUUAUGUAACCUGAAGCAUAUGUAACCCGAGGUACCACUGUACAAAUUAUCUAAUUGCUUGACAGACUCAGUUGUCAUGAGACAGUUGCUAGAGAUUGUUUUUAUAAUAUAAACAGCUGCUCAAGUAAAGGUACAGUUUGGUACUAUUCUCAAUUCUUAUUUUCAGUUGAAGCUCAAUUCUAGGAAUGAAAUAGUUCUUUAUUAGCAUGAAUGAGUCUCUCCCAUGACCUCCUCACCUUUUAAAAAAAUGCUUUUGCCGUCUGAAAUUAGUAAGGCUAUGCAAUAGAUAUAGAUAUGGUAUUUCGCAUACGAUCAGUUCUGAUUUAUGGCAUUUGCACGGGAGAGUGACAUCACUGAGAGGAGAAAUAUGCACUUGGAAGAGGCUCCCCAAGAAACAAAUUAAAUGCUCAUUGGGAAAGCUGAGCACAUUUUGAAACUGGUGCACUUCUCAAGUUCACCUUUAACUAAUGAACAUGUUCUCACACAAAGCUGCCUGUCAUAAGUGAGAUUAACUGAGAAUACUUUAGAAUGCCACUAUUUCGCUGGAAUUCAUAGCAUGACAGCGGAACAAUUCCUUCCUUUUAUAUAAUGCCUUUCAUUAAAUGUCAAAGAGCCGAUGUUGGGAGAAAUUGGGACGGCAGUGGGGGGGGCAUGGGCAAUAAGAGAGCCAGAGAGAUGGAUUUACAUUCUCAUUGCUACUGAUCUUAAAAGGUGCAAAUGAGUUCCACAAAUGAGCAACACCAGCCUGGGAAAGAAAAACUCCCUGAGGAGUUCAUCCUGAAAGAAAAAAGCAAUGAAAUAAAGGAAAGAGCUUUGCAUAAUUUUGUUCUGUAUGAACUCGGAAUCUGACAAGUUGCUGACCACAUGCAAAUGACUUCGGCUCUGAUGUCGUCCUUUGAGUGCACACAUGAAUCACAUCGAAAAGGGUGGCAUGAGCAAUUGCUUUGCCAAAAUCUGAAACAAAUCAGCACUCCAGCCUAUUUAUUAUCAGGGAUAUAAAGUCAUCCGUUUCAUCAGUAGAGCUAAAAGGUAAAGGACCCCUGGAUGGUUAAGUCCAGUCAAAGGCGACUACGGUGUUGCGGUGCUCAUCUCGCUUUCAGGUUGAGGGAGCCGGUGUUUGUCCACAGACAGCUUUCCAGGUCAUGUGGCCAGCAUGACUAAAACGUUUCUGGCGCAACGGGACACAGUGACGGAAACCAGAGCGCACAGAAAUGCCGGCUACCUUCCCACUGCAGUGGUAUCUAUUUAUCUACUCACACUGGUGUGCUUUUUUUUUUUUUUUUUAAAUAUUUUUUAUUGCAUUUUUCCAGAUAGAAAUACAAGGUCAGAUAUACAAAGAAAUAACAGAAAAAAGAAAGAAAAAGAAGAAAAUCAUCUUUUCAAAGCAUUUUUCCAUAACCAACCGGACUUCCCC
Non-coding RNA from Podarcis lilfordi (Lilford's wall lizard), 4449 nucleotides. The record is from the annotation of a GenBank genome assembly. NCBI's taxonomy places the organism in Eukaryota, Metazoa, Chordata, Lepidosauria, Squamata, Lacertidae.